CUCUGUCUCAAAAAAAAUAAAAUAAGGAAAUAUAAAAGAAUAUGGAGGCAUUAAUAUAGUCAUUGUUUAUGUUGGCAUUUUGAUGUCUAUAUUAUUUUUUAAAACAUUUAAUAAUUUUAUAAUAAUUUCUAAUUUAUGAUUUAGUACUGUGUCUUGUAUAGUAAGUUGAACAUCAUGAAUCCAGAACAUUUAUCUGCAGUUAUUCUUAUAUAAUGUUAAUAACUAGGUUUUUCAUUGAAUGUUAGUCAACUAUUUUAGUAACUUAGUAAAAGGAAUCUUUUAAGAGCAUUGUACAAAUAUAGCACAUACAAUAUAGAUUUCUUUUUAUUUUACUUAUGCCCUCUUUUUUAUUUCUAAAAGCUGCACAUGUAAACUUAAAUAUUUAAACUGAAAUGGGAUGUCUUAUAGAAUGAUUUGGGGGGGGUGUUAGUGUUCUAAAAUAAUAUCUGUACACAAAAUAUUGGUUUUAUAUAUUGUAGGUAUGCCCAAGAGGACAGAGAACGAAUGCACAGAAAUAUUGUCAGCCUUGCACAGAAUCUCCUGAACUUUAUGAUUGGCUCUAUCUUGGAUUUAUGGCAAUGCUUCCUCUGGUUUUACAUUGGUUCUUCAUUGAAUGGUACUCGGGGAAAAAGAGUUCCAGCGCACUUUUCCAACACAUCACUGCAUUAUUUGAAUGCAGCAUGGCAGCUAUUAUCACCUUACUUGUGAGUGAUCCAGUUGGUGUUCUUUAUAUUCGUUCAUGUCGAGUAUUGAUGCUUUCUGACUGGUACACGAUGCUUUACAACCCAAGUCCAGAUUACGUUACCACAGUGCACUGUACUCAUGAAGCCGUCUACCCACUAUAUACCAUUGUAUUUAUCUAUUAUGCAUUCUGCUUGGUAUUAAUGAUGCUGCUCCGACCUCUUCUGGUGAAGAAGAUUGCAUGUGGGUUAGGGAAAUCUGAUCGAUUUAAAAGUAUUUAUGCUGCACUUUACUUCUUCCCAAUUUUAACCGUGCUUCAGGCAGUUGGUGGAGGCCUUUUAUAUUAUGCCUUCCCAUACAUUAUAUUAGUGUUAUCUUUGGUUACUCUGGCUGUGUACAUGUCCGCUUCUGAAAUAGAGAACUGCUAUGAUCUUCUGGUCAGAAAGAAAAGACUUAUUGUUCUCUUCAGCCACUGGUUACUUCAUGCCUAUGGAAUAAUCUCCAUUUCCAGAGUGGAUAAACUUGAGCAAGAUUUGCCCCUUUUGGCUUUGGUACCUACACCAGCCCUUUUUUACUUGUUCACUGCAAAAUUUACUGAACCUUCACGGAUACUCUCAGAAGGAGCCAAUGGACACUGAGUGUAGACAUGUGAAAUGCCAAAAACCUGAGAAGUGCUCCUAAUAAAAAAGUAAAUCAAUCUUAACAAUGUAUGAGAACUAUUCUGUCAUAUAUGGGAACAAGAUUGUAAGUAUAUCUUAAUGUUUGGGUUUGUCUUUGUUUUGUUUAUGGUUAGACUUACAGACUUGGAAAAUGCAAAACUCCGUAAUACUCUGUUACACAGGGUAAUAUUAUCUGCUGUACUGGAAGGCCGCUAGGAAGCCCUUGCUUCUCUCAACAGUUCAGCUGUUCUUUAGGCAAAAUCAUGUUUCUGUGUACCUAGCAAUGUGUUCACAUUUUAUUAAGAAAAAAUUUAACCCGUGUAAUCUGCAAUCCUUAACAGUGGCAUAAUUGUACGUACCUGUUGUGUUUCAGUUUGUUUUUCACCUAUAAUGAACUGUAAAGACAUACAUACUUGUGGGGUCUGAUAGCAAACAUAGAAAUGAUGUAUAUUGUUUUUUGUUAUCUAUUUAUUUUCACCAAUACAGUAUUUUGAUGUAUUGCAAAAAUAGAUAAUAAUUUAUAUAACAGGUUUUCUGUUUAUAGAUUGGUUCAAGAUUUGUUUGGAUUAUUGUUCCUGUAAAGAAAACAAUAAUAAAAAGCUUAACUAC
RNAcentral lists this small RNA (1949 nucleotides) under Pongo abelii (Sumatran orangutan). RNAcentral's name for it is "retained intron". Lineage: Eukaryota; Metazoa; Chordata; Mammalia; Primates; Hominidae. The record is from RNAcentral.